Molecule: ribosomal RNA, 783 nt
Filed under: uncultured Mycobacterium sp.
Lineage: Bacteria; Bacillati; Actinomycetota; Actinomycetes; Mycobacteriales; Mycobacteriaceae
Description: bacterial SSU rRNA
Rfam family: Bacterial small subunit ribosomal RNA
Source: RNAcentral
UGGUUUGUCGCGUUGUUCGUGAAAUCUCACGGCUUAACUGUGAGCGUGCGGGCGAUACGGGCAGACUUGAGUACUGCAGGGGAGACUGGAAUUCCUGGUGUAGCGGUGGAAUGCGCAGAUAUCAGGAGGAACACCGGUGGCGAAGGCGGGUCUCUGGGCAGUAACUGACGCUGAGGAGCGAAAGCGUGGGGAGCGAACAGGAUUAGAUACCCUGGUAGUCCACGCCGCAAACGGUGGGUACUAGGUGUGGGUUUCCUUCCUUGGGAUCCGUGCCGUAGCUAACGCAUUAAGUACCCCGCCUGGGGAGUACGGCCGCAAGGCUAAAACUCAAAGAAAUUGACGGGGGCCCGCACAAGCGGCGGAGCAUGUGGAUUAAUUCGAUGCAACGCGAAGAACCUUACCUGGGUUUGACAUGCACAGGACGCCGGCAGAGAUGUCGGUUCCCUUGUGGCCUGUGUGCAGGUGGUGCAUGGCUGUCGUCAGCUCGUGUCGUGAGAUGUUGGGUUAAGUCCCGCAACGAGCGCAACCCUUGUCUCAUGUUGCCAGCGGGUAAUGCCGGGGACUCGUGAGAGACUGCCGGGGUCAACUCGGAGGAAGGUGGGGAUGACGUCAAGUCAUCAUGCCCCUUAUGUCCAGGGCUUCACACAUGCUACAAUGGCCGGUACAAAGGGCUGCGAUGCCGCGAGGUUAAGCGAAUCCUUUUAAAGCCGGUCUCAGUUCGGAUCGGGGUCUGCAACUCGACCCCGUGAAGUCGGAGUCGCUAGUAAUCGCAGAUCGGCAACG